Molecule: long non-coding RNA, 2948 nt
Organism: Triticum aestivum (bread wheat)
Lineage: Eukaryota; Viridiplantae; Streptophyta; Magnoliopsida; Poales; Poaceae
Exons: 5
Source: RefSeq, a predicted model, not a curated record
CUCUCCCCCUAGAAAAACCCUAGCACUCCUGAUCCAGAUCCCUCCCCUCCCCUCGCCGCCAUCCACCGCCGCUCGCCGCCGGCCUCGACCCCCUCCCCCUGCCCUCCGAACACUGUCGCAGGCCAGAUCCACCGCAGCCCCCUCCCUGCCGCCUCCUCCUUCCUCCAGUACCACAUCUCCAACCUUGCCUCUCGCUUCGCCGCCACGCGCCCCGCGCCCGCUGAGGCGCACCCGCCGGGGGCCCAUGGCGUUGCCCAGUCCUCCGCUGGCCUCCUCACCGGCUUCUAGUUCGCCAGCUGUGAGCAGAUCAGGCCGCGCACAGCAGACAUGGAGGAGGACGCAGCCGCGGCUGCGGCGCCGGACUCGUGGGAGACGGGGCCAUGAGCCGCCUGCUCCUCUCCUCCUCCACCUCCUUGGCCUCCCCCGCCACGCGCCGGGUCUGCUCCUCGCCCGACCUUGCCGACGACCACCAGGCCGCGGACGCGCAGCAGGAGCAGGACCCCGCACGCGGGACAAUCCAGCCGCGCAGGUCGACCAGUUCCUCCGCAAGGCCCUCGAGAAGCCCCGCGAACGCCUCCAAGGAUCGUGAUUUGGUGGUCGAGCCUAUGUCAACCACUGGUUCCACUCAGCCGAGCAGGCCAGACAUAAGGCCCUUGUUCUGAACCUGCUUUUGUUGAUCGGUUGCCAUCAGGGGCGAGUUCUGCAAGGAGUUCAAGCAGAAGAACCCCAAGAACAAGUCUGUCGCUGUUGUAGGCAAAGCAGCCGGUGGGAGGUGGAAGAGCUUGAGCGAGUCGAUCCUGGUGUACCAGCUUUGCAAGGCGUUGCUUUUUGCCACGAACGUGGUGUCCGGCACCAUGACCUUGAGCCACACAACCUGCAAAUUGGUGGAUGGGUUGGUAUCCUCUGGUUUGAUCCCAGCAAGAGGAAGUGUUCUCUUCUCUUUAUCAACCAAAGGCACUUUCUUCUCUCAUGGAUGGAUGGGACUCCAUCAAUUUAGUACCAGUUUAGGUGUUAGUAUUCUGUUGAUGCUUGUGUUGAUGCCAUGCUUUUUGUCUUGUCAUGUGCUGAUAUUAACUGGCAACAUCAGCUCUCAUGAUUGCUUGCUUGCUUGCUUACUCUAUAACCUGUACUGCUAAAACAUGUUAUUCUACUCCAUGAUGCUAUAUCAUUUGCAAAUACUCCUGGACAUCAGCUCCCAUGAUGUUGCAUUAGCUAUAACCUGUACUUCUAAAAGAGGAGUUUAAACUAGAGUAAUUUUUCAGCCAUUAUCUUUUUUUCUUUUGGGCGGAUGCUCUCCACUGGAGUACAGUUGGGUACUGCAUCUCUUUUUGCAUUCCUUUUUCAGUCAGUGCUUGAAUAUUUUUUUUAAAGAUGAAUUGGAAUACUCCUGGACAGCAGUACAUGGAGUAUAGCUGUAACUAGUACAUGAUUGAUGGAGUAUAGUAGUCCAUUAGGAGUAUAGCUGGACUAUGCUCUCGGUACACUGCAAAGAAUUUCCCUGUACAAUCCUGAUGGGAUUAUGUAUAUGAUCAUGUCCUGUAGAAUUGAAUUUCUUUGGCUGUUCUGUAAACUGAAUUUGGUUCGGUUAAAAAAUGGCACUACCUGACAGUUUUGGGCAGCGAGCUUCUAACUGAUAAAUGAGUUCGUUAUGCUCAUAAUUUCAAGUUGGCCUCUACAUAUGAGUUGUAAAGCAUGUUCUAAGGUUUCUGUAGAGUACUUAUUUGCUUCGUUUGGAUGUACCUUUUGAGAGUAACUAUCUAUUUAGUUUGUUGUCCAGAAAUAUAGUACAGUUUGUAAAAGCAACCAAUUCAUGAUAAGACUUGGUGAGGCUGAUGCACAUAGCUACUUUCAGUACAUUGUAACAGUGUUGAUUGUUGGACAAGCUAAAUCAUGUGUCUUGCUCAUUUAAUAUAAACAUUAUGUAGAGCUCUGUUUCUUCUUCUUUUGCGUCCUAUAUGUAUGUGUCUGACGACGAAGGUGGUUUCUUCAGAAUUGAUCGAGUCUGACAAAGUCGUUCUUGGUACUUUAGUAUUUUUCUUGUUAUCUGCAGCUAGUUGUAUAUGUGGUGCAAUUGUGCAGAGCUACUAGUCGUGCUUGGUACUUUAGUAUUUUGCUUUCCUCUGUAUUGGGUAUAUUAUUUUCUGCUACUAAUCGAUGAAUGCAAUAAUUAAAGAGAACCAAACUACUUCUAUUGAUUUCCGCUACAUCGUUUCUACCUGUUUGUGUGUAAAACCAUUCUUAAGCCUGAAUGGUACUUUUCUUGUUUUUGUCAAUUUUGUUCCUAUGAAAAGUCUUCUCUCUUUAGCUCAUGCUCGUUACCUCCUCCCCUCAUGUUUCACAGGAAGAUGAUAAACCUUUUUAAGAUCAAGGGGCAGAAGAAGGAAGAGGCGGCCAACUCAAAUGGGGGGCCUCCUGUUAAGCAAAGUCCAGAUGUCCUUUGUUCAUUGAAGUGCUGACUACUGCAACAAGUCCCAUGAUGAAGAAGCUAGAAUUCGCACCCAGCAAAGAGAACCUCAUUGGAGCUUGUUAUUGUUUGAUCUUUUUGUGUAUUAGAAAACUGGAUACUAUGUACUAGUUACUAAAGGGAAACAAAGAGUUUGCAUUGCAAACUCGGCGGGACCGAUCGCUCAUUUUGGUGAGACCGAAAUGUUACGAAGGGAGACAGAGAGUUUACAAUCCCAUCUCGGUGAGACUGAGAUCCCUGUCGGUGAGACCGAAGUGAUUAGGGUUUGUGGCUAUGGCUAUGUCAGAUGAACUCGGUGGCGCCGGAUAGAUCAAUACGGUGGGGCCGAGUUUGACUUUUACGUUUAGGACAAAUAUGGAAGUGGGAAAGUGGUUGAGGGUUUUGGAGCAUAUCACUAAGCAUUUUGAGCAAGCAAGACAUUAAGCAACACCUCAUCCCCUUUUAAUAGUAUUGGCUUUCCGAUGGAUUCAAUGUGAUCUUGGAC